RNAcentral lists this ribosomal RNA (468 nucleotides) under uncultured bacterium. Its description in RNAcentral is "partial 16S ribosomal RNA". The stretch from base 63 to 468 matches the Rfam family "Bacterial small subunit ribosomal RNA", at positions 39 to 507 of the family's 1533-position model. The record is from RNAcentral.
GGGGGGGGGGGGGGGGGGGGGGGGGGGGGGGGGGGCGGGGGGGGGGGCGGGGGGGGGGGGGGGUGGUGGGGGGGGGGACGGGGGGGUGGCGCGUGAGUAGGCUGCCGGUGAGUUUGGGGUAACUUCAGGAAGCUGGGGCAAAGACCGGAUAGGCGCUCCGGCUGCAUGGUGGGGGUGGGAAGGGUUCGGCGGUUGGGGAUGGACUCGCGGCUUAUCAGCUUGUUGGUGGGGUAGUGGCUUCCCAAGGCUUUGACGGGUAGCCGGCCUGAGAGGGUGACCGGCCACAUUGGGACUGAGAUACGGCCCAGACUCCUACGGGAGGCAGCAGUGGGGAAUAUUGCACAAUGGGCGGAAGCCUGAUGCAGCAACGCCGCGUGCGGGAUGACGGCCUUCGGGUUGUAAACCGCUUUCGCCUGUGACGAAGCGUGAGUGACGGUAAUGGGUAAAGAAGCACCGGCUAACUACGUG